Molecule: ribosomal RNA, 230 nt
Filed under: uncultured bacterium
Lineage: Bacteria
Description: partial 16S ribosomal RNA
Rfam family: Bacterial small subunit ribosomal RNA
Source: RNAcentral
AAAGCGUGCGCAGGCGGUUAUGUAAGACAGUUGUGAAAUCCCCGGGCUCAACCUGGGAACCGCAUCUGUGACUGCAUAGCUAGAGUACGGUAGAGGGGGAUGGAAUUCCGCGUGUAGCAGUGAAAUGCGUAGAUAUGCGGAGGAACACCGAUGGCGAAGGCAAUCCCCUGGACCUGUACUGACGCUCAUGCACGAAAGCGUGGGGAGCAAACAGGAUUAGAUACCCCAGU